RNAcentral lists this ribosomal RNA (292 nucleotides) under uncultured bacterium. Its description in RNAcentral is "partial 16S ribosomal RNA". It matches the Rfam family "Bacterial small subunit ribosomal RNA", at positions 505 to 796 of the family's 1533-position model. The record is from RNAcentral.
GUGUCAGCAGCCGCGGUAAUACAGAGGGUGCAAGCGUUGUUCGGAUUUACUGGGCGUAAAGCGCGUGUAGGCGGUGGCGUAAGUCGGAUGUGAAAUCCCUCGGCUUAACCGAGGACGUGCAUCCGAUACUGCGUCACUUGAGUGCCGGAGGGGAUGGCGGAAUUCCCGGUGUAGAGGUGAAAUUCGUAGAUAUCGGGAGGAACACCUGUGGCGAAGGCGGCCAUCUGGACGGUAACUGACGCUGAGACGCGAAAGCGUGGGUAGCAAACAGGAUUAGAUACCCUGGUAGUCC